UACGAAGGGGGCUAGCGUUGCUCGGAAUCACUGGGCGUAAAGCGCACGUAGGCGGAUCUUUAAGUCAGGGGUGAAAUCCCGAGGCUCAACCUCGGAACUGCCUUUGAUACUGGGGAUCUCGAGUCCGGGAGAGGUGAGUGGAACUGCGAGUGUAGAGGUGAAAUUCGUAGAUAUUCGCAAGAACACCAGUGGCGAAGGCGGCCUGCUGGGCAGUUACUGACACUGAGGCGCGACAGCGUGGGGAGCAAACAGGG
RNAcentral lists this ribosomal RNA (254 nucleotides) under uncultured bacterium. RNAcentral's name for it is "partial 16S ribosomal RNA". It matches the Rfam family "Bacterial small subunit ribosomal RNA", at positions 524 to 777 of the family's 1533-position model. The record is from RNAcentral.